UCAGCCGCCGCGGUAAUACCAGCUCUCCUAGUGGUAGGGACAAUUAUUGGGCUUAAAGCGUCCGUAGCCAGCCCCUCAAGUCUCUCGUUAAAUCCAACGAUUCAAUCGCUGGACUGCGGGAGAUACUGUAGGGCUAGGGGGCGGGAGAAGCCGACGGUAUUCUUGGGGUAGGGGUAAAAUCCUAUAAUCCCGGGAAGACCACCAGUGGCGUAGGCGGUCGGCUAGCACGCGCCCGACGGUGAGGGACGAAAGCUGGGGGAGCGAACCGGAUUAGAUACCCGGGUAGUCCCAGCCGUAAACGAUGCGGGCUAGGUGUUGGAGCGGCUACGAGCCGCUUCAGUGCCGCAGGGAAGCCAUUAAGCCCGCCGCCUGGGGAGUACGGCCGCAAGGCUGAAACUUAAAGGAAUUGGCGGGGGAGCACA
Molecule: ribosomal RNA, 422 nt
Filed under: uncultured archaeon
Lineage: Archaea
Description: bacterial SSU rRNA
Rfam family: Archaeal small subunit ribosomal RNA
Source: RNAcentral